CUUUCUGAUUAAUUGCUUGUAUCUUUCCCAAGCCUCAUAGAGGGACACUCCUUCCUUCUGUCUUAAGGUCUGGACAUCCACCCUAAGUUUAGUCAGCUUCUGAGGUAGAAAAAAUUUGGUCAGAAAUCUUUUUACCACCUUGUCCCACAUGUCCAAGCUUUCCUUAGGUUGAGAAUCAACCUACUGCUUCACUAUUUUCCUCACAGCAAAUGGGAAGAGCAUGAGCUUGUA
Arachis ipaensis is the source of this 231-nucleotide non-coding RNA. The record is from RefSeq and is a predicted model, not a curated record. Lineage: Eukaryota; Viridiplantae; Streptophyta; Magnoliopsida; Fabales; Fabaceae.